GUAGAGGGAGCCUGAGAAACGGCUACCACAUCCAAGGAAGGCAGCAGGCGCGCAAAUUACCCACUCCCAGCGCGGGGAGGUAGUGACAAGAAAUAGCAAUGUGAGACCCUUUGGGUAUCACGAUUGGAAUGAGAACAAUUUAAACCACUUAACGAGGAACAAUUGGAGGGCAAGUCUGGUGCCAGCAGCCGCGGUAAUUCCAGCUCCAAUAGUGUAUAUUAAAGUUGUUGCGGUUAAAAAGCUCGUAGUUGAACUACAGGGAAAGGUAACCACUCACCGACCCAAGCUCUUGCGAAGGUUGGAAACAUGGGUAGGUGCUUUGAGCUGACGAAAUCGUCCUACACGUUUCGGUUCUUCAGUCGGACCUGCAUCGGCUGGAGGAUCGUGUUGGACACUUUACUGUGAAGAAAUUUGAGUGUUAAAAGCAAGCAAAAAUGCAUGAAGACAUUAGCAUGGGAUAAUGAAAUACGACCUGUUCCUUACUUCAUUUCUAAGGAAAAGGUAAUGAUUGAUAGGGACAGUCGGGGUCGCUAGUACUGAGUGGCUAGAGGUGAAAUUCUAUGACCCACUCAAGACUAACAAGAGCGAAAGCAUUCGACAAGGAUGUUUUCAUUAAUCAAGAGCGAAAGUUGAGGGAUCGAAGAUGAUCAGAUACCGUCGUAGUCUCAACUAUAAACGAUGUCGACUCGGGAUUGGAGGGCGUUACAUGGAUGACCCCUCCAGCACCGUGUGAGAAAUCACAAGUAUCCAGACUCCGGGGGGAGUAUGGUCGCAAGUCUGAAACUUAAAGGAAUUGACGGAAGGGCACCACCAGGAGUGGAGUCUGCGGCUUAAUUUGACCCAACACGGGGAAACUUACCAAGUCCGAACAUGAUGAGGAUUGACAGAUUGAUAGCUCUUUCUUGAUUUUAUGAUAAGUGGUGCAUGGCCGUUUUUAGUUGGUGGAGUGAUCUGUCUGGUUAAUUCCGUUAACGAACGAGACCUUAACCUAUUGAAUAGGGAAACGAACACUCGGAUCGGGAAGGUUGGUCGCAAGGCUGACCGACUCGGUCCAAACGCAUUUGAAAACACUUCUCAGAGGAACUAUUCACCCACCAAGUGAACGGAAGUUUAAGGCAACAACAGGUCUGUGAUGCCCUCAGAUGUUUUGGGCUGCACGCGCAUUACACUGUUAUGUGCAACGAGUAUUCGCAUCCUAACCCUGAGGGGUAGGGUAAGCUUUUAAUACAUAACGUGAUUGGGAUUGUGUUUUGUAAUUAUCACACAUGAACGAGGAAUUCCUAGUAAGCGUAAGUCAUCAACUUGCGCUGAUUACGUCCCUGCCCUUUGUACACACCGCCCGUCGCUCCUACCGAUUGAACGGCCCGAUGAGGAUUCGGGAUGGCUGGUAGCUGUUCGGUUUACGCUGUUCACUGCUAGUCAGAACCUAUUCAAAUCUUGUCGUUUAGAGGAAGGAGAAGUCGUAACAAGGUU
Molecule: ribosomal RNA, 1473 nt
Filed under: metagenome
Description: SSU rRNA
Rfam family: Eukaryotic small subunit ribosomal RNA
Source: RNAcentral